This is a long non-coding RNA of Gadus chalcogrammus (walleye pollock), 882 nucleotides long. RefSeq lists it as uncharacterized. The record is from RefSeq and is a predicted model, not a curated record. Lineage: Eukaryota; Metazoa; Chordata; Actinopteri; Gadiformes; Gadidae. The transcript has 4 exons.
UCCUGACAUUGACAACAAAAACAAUGUGAAAUUAAUCAUCCUCUGUCGGUCGGCCUUCGUCAUUCCCAUCAUCAUUCUGAUAAUCUUUUAUUGCUGGAGGAAAAAGAAGCAUCAUAGAGAAAACCUCGAUUCUGAACAGAGUCCAAACUGUGACCAAGCUGGCGCCAUCUCUUUGAAUGAGAGUCUGUUAGGACCCCCUCCUCUCCCUUUUGAGCCCACUGACAUAGAACUCAACCCCAUAAGCACCUAGGAGGCUCUAUGGGAGACAUUGACUGGAGGUUUAAACUUCUGCUGCCCCUGAGAUGAACCCCGGUUACUGAGCUGACUCCAAGUGGACCCCUUAAAGCUGUGAACCCCUCUAUUCCUGGCUCACCUCAUCCUGACAGGAAGAGAGGGGGAGGGCUUUAUGACAGCCACAAUGAACAAAGGAGCCCCCUUCAUUCUUCCUCUCACUUUACUUAGAAUGACUUGUAUGUUAAUGAUAACUAGUUAAUAUUACAAUCAAAGACUGCCUGCGUUAUGAAUGUAUUCCAAAAUCACCUAUGUUGCUUUUUCAUUUGAAUGCAUGCUUUUUGUCUUAGGAGGGAUUGUCAUUGUUCUCGUGCAUGUCACAUCUUUAUGUUAACCCAUAUAUGUGGUAUAGGGGUUUGAUUUCUGUGAUUAUACUUGGCUACUUUACUCAAGGUUGUGUUUGUCACACAUGGCCCGAUGCAUCGGGUGUUGUGAUUGGCCAGUGCAUGUAAGAGGUGUCCAAGAUUUUUGGAGAAUAACAUGAAACCUGAGUCCUUUGCAAACCAACUCAUGUUUUGCGCUUGUGUCUUUAUCUUUUAAACUUCAGCUUACUCAACCUCUAUUAUUUGACGCUAUAGCUUUACAAUUUGA